RNAcentral lists this ribosomal RNA (417 nucleotides) under Siphamia tubulata (siphonfish). RNAcentral's name for it is "partial 12S ribosomal RNA". It matches the Rfam family "Bacterial small subunit ribosomal RNA", at positions 915 to 1522 of the family's 1533-position model. Lineage: Eukaryota; Metazoa; Chordata; Actinopteri; Kurtiformes; Apogonidae. The record is from RNAcentral.
GGCACUUCAAACCCCCCUAGAGGAGCCUGUUCUAGAACCGAUACCCCCCGUUUAACCUCACCUUCUCUGGCCCCCAGCCUAUAUACCGCCGUCGUCAGCCCACCCUAUGAAGGCUCAACAGUGGGCAAAAUUGGCACCUCCCAUCCCCAAAACGUCAGGCCGAGGUGUAGCGUAUGAGAAGGGAAGAAAUGGGCUACAAUUGUCCAUCCACUAACACGGACUGUAUGCUGAAACGCAUACACAAAGGAGGAUUUAGGAGUAAGGAGAGAAUAGAGCGCCCUCCUGAAACGGCAAUGAAGUGUGCACACACCGCCCGUCACUCUCCCCGAAUAAAUGAAAAAUAUAAAUAAAAAAAGAUCCUACAAGAAGGGGAGACAAGUCGUAACAAGGUAAGUGUACCGGAAGGUGCACUUGGAA